AUUGAACGCUGGCGGCAUGCCUUACACAUGCAAGUCGAACGGUAACAGGUCUUCGGAUGCUGACGAGUGGCGAACGGGUGAGUAAUACAUCGGAACGUGCCUAGUAGUGGGGGAUAACUACUCGAAAGAGUGGCUAAUACCGCAUGAGAUCUACGGAUGAAAGCAGGGGAUCGCAAGACCUUGUGCUACUAGAGCGGCCGAUGGCAGAUUAGGUAGUUGGUGGGAUAAAAGCUUACCAAGCCGACGAUCUGUAGCUGGUCUGAGAGGACGAUCAGCCACCCUGUGACAGAGAGACGGCCCAGACUCCUACAGGGGGCAGCAGUGGGGAGGUUUGGACAAUGGGGGAAAGCCUGAUACAGCCAUGCCGCGUGCAGGAUGAAGGCCUUCGGGUUGUAAACUGCUUUUGUACGGAACGAUAAGUCCUGGGUUAAUACCCUGGGGUCCUGACGGUACCGUAAGAAUAAGCACCGGCUAACUACGUGCCAGCAGCCGCCGUAA
This 498-nucleotide ribosomal RNA is filed under the name uncultured bacterium. Its description in RNAcentral is "partial 16S ribosomal RNA". It matches the Rfam family "Bacterial small subunit ribosomal RNA", at positions 30 to 523 of the family's 1533-position model. The record is from RNAcentral.